RNAcentral lists this ribosomal RNA (207 nucleotides) under uncultured bacterium. RNAcentral describes it as "partial 16S ribosomal RNA". It matches the Rfam family "Bacterial small subunit ribosomal RNA", at positions 568 to 774 of the family's 1533-position model. The record is from RNAcentral.
CUCGUAGGCGGUUCGUCGCGUCCGGUGUGAAAGUCCAUCGCUUAACGGUGGAUCCGCGCCGGGUACGGGCGGGCUUGAGUGCGGUAGGGGAGACUGGAAUUCCCGGUGUAGCGGUGGAAUGUGUAGAUAUCGGGAAGAACACCAAUGGCGAAGGCAGGUCUCUGGGCCGUCACUGACGCUGAGGAGCGAAAGCGUGGGGAGCGAACA